UAGGGAAUCUUCGGCAAUGGGGGGAACCCUGACCGAGCAACGCCGCGUGAGUGAAGAAGGUUUUCGGAUCGUAAAGCUCUGUUGUUAAGGAAGAACGAGUGUGAGAAUGGAAAGUUCAUGCUGUGACGGUACUUAACCAGAAAGGGACGGCUAACUACGUGCCAGCAGCCGCGGUAAUACGUAGGUCCCGAGCGUUGUCCGGAUUUAUUGGGCGUAAAGCGAGCGCAGGCGGUUAGAAAAGUCUGAAGUGAAAGGCAGUGGCUCAACCAUUGUAGGCUUUGGAAACUGUUUAACUUGAGUGCAGAAGGGGAGAGUGGAAUUCCAUGUGUAGCGGUGAAAUGCGUAGAUAUAUGGAGGAACCCCGGUGGCGAAAGCGGCUCUCUGGUCUGUAACUGACGCUGAGGCUCGAAAGCGUGGGGAGCGAACAGG
This 429-nucleotide ribosomal RNA is filed under the name Bacteroidota bacterium. RNAcentral describes it as "Bacteroidetes bacterium partial 16S ribosomal RNA". It matches the Rfam family "Bacterial small subunit ribosomal RNA", at positions 355 to 776 of the family's 1533-position model. The record is from RNAcentral. Lineage: Bacteria; Pseudomonadati; Bacteroidota.